This 339-nucleotide ribosomal RNA is filed under the name Escherichia coli. RNAcentral's name for it is "partial 23S ribosomal RNA". It matches the Rfam family "Bacterial large subunit ribosomal RNA", at positions 922 to 1258 of the family's 2925-position model. Lineage: Bacteria; Pseudomonadati; Pseudomonadota; Gammaproteobacteria; Enterobacterales; Enterobacteriaceae. The record is from RNAcentral.
GGGGGUCAUCCCGACUUACCAACCCGAUGCAAACUGCGAAUACCGGAGAAUGUUAUCACGGGAGACACACGGCGGGUGCUAACGUCCGUCGUGAAGAGGGAAACAACCCAGACCGCCAGCUAAGGUCCCAAAGUCAUGGUUAAGUGGGAAACGAUGUGGGAAGGCCCAGACAGCCAGGAUGUUGGCUUAGAAGCAGCCAUCAUUUAAAGAAAGCGUAAUAGCUCACUGGUCGAGUCGGCCUGCGCGGAAGAUGUAACGGGGCUAAACCAUGCACCGAAGCUGCGGCAGCGACACUAUGUGUUGUUGGGUAGGGGAGCGUUCUGUAAGCCUGUGAAGGUG